ACGAACUCUGGUAUUGAUUGGUGCUUGCAUCAUGAUUUACAUUUGAGUGAGUGGCGAACUGGUGAGUAACACGUGGGAAACCUGCCCAGAAGCGGGGGAUAACACCUGGAAACAGAUGCUAAUACCGCAUAACAACUUGGACCGCAUGGUCCGAGUUUGAAAGAUGGCUUCGGCUAUCACUUUUGGAUGGUCCCGCGGCGUAUUAGCUAGAUGGUGGGGUAAUGGCUCACCAUGGCAAUGAUACGUAGCCGACCUGAGAGGGUAAUCGGCCACAUUGGGACUGAGACACGGCCCAAACUCCUACGGGAGGCAGCAGUAGGGAAUCUUCCACAAUGGACGAAAGUCUGAUGGAGCAACGCCGCGUGAGUGAAGAAGGGUUUCGGCUCGUAAAACUCUGUUGUUAAAGAAGAACAUAUCUGAGAGUAACUGUUCAGGUAUUGACGGUAUUUAACCAGAAAGCCACGGCUAACUACGUGCCAGCAGCCGCGGUAAUACGUAGGUGGCAAGCGUUGUCCGGAUUUAUUGGGCGUAAAGCGAGCGCAGGCGGUUUUUUAAGUCUGAUGUGAAAGCCUUCGGCUCAACCGAAGAAGUGCAUCGGAAACUGGGAAACUUGAGUGCAGAAGAGGACAGUGGAACUCCAUGUGUAGCGGUGAAAUGCGUAGAUAUAUGGAAGAACACCAGUGGCGAAGGCGGCUGUCUGGUCUGUAACUGACGCUGAGGCUCGAAAGUAUGGGUAGCAAACAGGAUUAGAUACCCUGGUAGUCCAUACCGUAAACGAUGAAUGCUAAGUGUUGGAGGGUUUCCGCCCUUCAGUGCUGCAGCUAACGCAUUAAGCAUUCCGCCUGGGGAGUACGGCCGCAAGGCUGAAACUCAAAGGAAUUGACGGGGGCCCGCACAAGCGGUGGAGCAUGUGGUUUAAUUCGAAGCUACGCGAAGAACCUUACCAGGUCUUGACAUACUAUGCAAAUCUAAGAGAUUAGACGUUCCCUUCGGGGACAUGGAUACAGGUGGUGCAUGGUUGUCGUCAGCUCGUGUCGUGAGAUGUUGGGUUAAGUCCCGCAACGAGCGCAACCCUUAUUAUCAGUUGCCAGCAUUAAGUUGGGCACUCUGGUGAGACUGCCGGUGACAAACCGGAGGAAGGUGGGGAUGACGUCAAAUCAUCAUGCCCCUUAUGACCUGGGCUACACACGUGCUACAAUGGAUGGUACAACGAGUUGCGAACUCGCGAGAGUAAGCUAAUCUCUUAAAGCCAUUCUCAGUUCGGAUUGUAGGCUGCAACUCGCCUACAUGAAGUCGGAAUCGCUAGUAAUCGCGGAUCAGCAUGCCGCGGUGAAUACGUUCCCGGGCCUUGUACACACCGCCCGUCACACCAUGAGAGUUUGUAACACCCAAAGUCGGUGGGGUAACCUUUUA
RNAcentral lists this ribosomal RNA (1413 nucleotides) under Lactiplantibacillus pentosus. RNAcentral describes it as "bacterial SSU rRNA". It matches the Rfam family "Bacterial small subunit ribosomal RNA", at positions 66 to 1444 of the family's 1533-position model. The record is from RNAcentral. Lineage: Bacteria; Bacillati; Bacillota; Bacilli; Lactobacillales; Lactobacillaceae.